RNAcentral lists this ribosomal RNA (484 nucleotides) under uncultured bacterium. RNAcentral describes it as "partial 16S ribosomal RNA". It matches the Rfam family "Bacterial small subunit ribosomal RNA", at positions 30 to 507 of the family's 1533-position model. The record is from RNAcentral.
AUUGAACGCUGGCGGCAGGCCUAACACAUGCAAGUCGAGCGGAUGAAGGUAGCUUGCUCCUGGAUUCAGCGGCGGACGGGUGAGUAAUGCCUAGGAAUCUGCCUUGUAGUGUGGGAUAACGUCCGGAAACGGGCGCUAAUACCGCAUACGUCCUGAGGGAGAAAGUGGGGGAUCUUCGGACCUCACGCUAUCAGAUGAGCCUAGGUCGGAUUAUCUAGUUGGUGGGGUAAAGGCCGACCAAGGCGACGAUCCGUAACUGGUCUGAGAGGAUGAUCAGUCACACUGGAACUGAGACACGGCCAAGACUACUACGGGAGGCAGCAGUGGGGAAUGUUGGACAAUGGGCGAAAGCCUGAUCCAGCCAGGCCGCGUGUGUGAAGAAGGUCUUCGGAUUGUAAAGCACUUUUAGUUGGGAGGAAGGGCAGUAAGUUAAUACCUUGCUGUUUUGACGGUACCAAGCGAAUAAGCACCGGCUAACUACGUG